CACCUGUUCCCAUCCCGAACACAGUAGUUAAGUUCACCUGCGCCGAUGGUACUGGUCUGGCGACGGAUUGGGAGAGUAGGUCGCCGCCUUCU
This 92-nucleotide ribosomal RNA is filed under the name Candidatus Stygibacter australis. Lineage: Bacteria; Pseudomonadati; Candidatus Cloacimonadota; Cloacimonadia (SeqCode); Cloacimonadales (SeqCode). The record is from RNAcentral.